CCUACGGGAGGCAGCAGUGAGGAAUAUUGGUCAAUGGGCGGGAGCCUGAACCAGCCAAGUCGCGUGAGGGAAGACGGUCCUAUGGAUUGUAAACCUCUUUAGGCGGGGAGCAAUGCCUAGCACGUGUGCCCGGAGGGAGAGUACCCGCAGACUAAGCAUCGGCUAACUCCGUGCCAGCAGCCGCGGUAAUACGGAGGAUGCGAGCGUUAUCCGGAUUUAUUGGGUGUAAAGGGUGCGUAGGCGGAUUUUUAAGUCAGCGGUAAAAUGUCCGGGCUCAACCCGGGCCGGCCGUUGAAACUGGGGAGCUUGAGUGGGCGAGAAGUAGGCGGAAUGCGUGGUGUAGCGGUGAAAUGCAUAGAUAUCACGCAGAACUCCGAUUGCGAAGGCAGCAUACCGGAGCCCGACUGACGCUGAGGCACGAAAGCGUGGGGAUCGAACAGGAUUAGAUACCCCUGUAGUC
This 460-nucleotide ribosomal RNA is filed under the name uncultured bacterium. RNAcentral's name for it is "partial 16S ribosomal RNA". It matches the Rfam family "Bacterial small subunit ribosomal RNA", at positions 338 to 795 of the family's 1533-position model. The record is from RNAcentral.